GAUGAACGCUGGCGGCGUGCCUAAUACAUGCAAGUCGAGCGAACAGACCUGCUUUUUGUUCCUCUGUGGUUGUCCGCGGACGGGUGAGUAACACGUAGCUAGCCUACCUAUAGGACUGGGAUAACUUCUAGGACCCGGAGCUAAUGCCUGAUUAUCUAUUGAACCGCAUGGUUCUAUAGUUAAAGGCGGUCUUUCUUUUACUUGUUGGUGAUGCCGCGCCGGAUUAGCUACUUGGUGAGGUGAUGGUUUACCAACACGACGAUGGGGAGCGGUCCUGGGAGUGUGAUCGGCCACACUGGCACUGAGACUGGGUCAAGACUCAUACGGGUGGCAGAAGUAGGGAAGGUUACGCAAUGGGCGAAAGCCUGACGGAGCAGCGGCGAGUGAGUGUGGAAGGUCUUCGGAUCGUAAAUCUCUGCUACUAGGGAAGAACAAAUGGGUAAGUAACUAGGAACGUCUUGACGGUACCUAAAGAGAAAGCCCCGGCUAACUACGUG
Molecule: ribosomal RNA, 497 nt
Filed under: uncultured bacterium
Lineage: Bacteria
Description: partial 16S ribosomal RNA
Rfam family: Bacterial small subunit ribosomal RNA
Source: RNAcentral